GGGCGGUUAGCUCAGCCGGAAGAGCGCCUCGCUUACACCGAGGAUGGCGGGGGUUCGAAUCCCUCACCGCCCACCA
Molecule: transfer RNA, 76 nt
Filed under: Paracoccaceae bacterium
Lineage: Bacteria; Pseudomonadati; Pseudomonadota; Alphaproteobacteria; Rhodobacterales; Paracoccaceae
Also listed under: 1 other name
Description: tRNA-Val
Rfam family: tRNA
About the family: Transfer RNA (tRNA) molecules are approximately 80 nucleotides in length. Their secondary structure includes four short double-helical elements and three loops (D, anti-codon, and T loops).
Source: RNAcentral